RNAcentral lists this ribosomal RNA (498 nucleotides) under uncultured bacterium. RNAcentral describes it as "partial 16S ribosomal RNA". It matches the Rfam family "Bacterial small subunit ribosomal RNA", at positions 28 to 507 of the family's 1533-position model. The record is from RNAcentral.
GACGAACGCUGGCGGCGUGCCUAAUACAUGCAAGUCGAGCGGACGAAUCGAAAGCUUGCUUUUGAUUCGUUAGCGGCGGACGGGUGAGUAACACGUGUGCAACCUCCCCUGUAUACGGGGAUAUCACCGAGAAAUCGGUUCUAAUACCGUAUAACACGAAGUUUCGCAUUACGUUUCGUUGAGAUACGGCGCAAGCUGACGCUACAGGGUGUUCCCGGGGCGUAUUUGCUGGUGGGGGAGGUAACGGCUUACCAAGGCGACCAUGCGUAGCCGACGACAGAGGGGGAUAGCCCACCCUGGGACUGAGACACGGACCAGACGACUACGGGAGGCAGCAGUAGGGAACCUGACGCAAUGGACGAAAGUAUGACGGAGCAACGCCGCGUGAGAGGAGAAGGCGUUCGGGUCGGAAAGCUCUGUUGUUAGGGAAGAACAAGUAACGCAGUAACUGGCGUUAGCGUGACGGUACCUAACGAGAAAGCAACGGCUAACUACGUG